Molecule: transfer-messenger RNA, 354 nt
Filed under: Rhodospirillaceae bacterium
Lineage: Bacteria; Pseudomonadati; Pseudomonadota; Alphaproteobacteria; Rhodospirillales; Rhodospirillaceae
Rfam family: Alphaproteobacteria transfer-messenger RNA
About the family: Bacterial tmRNA, also known as 10Sa RNA or SsrA, is named for its dual tRNA and mRNA-like properties. Its role is to liberate the mRNA from a stalled ribosome.
Source: RNAcentral
GUCUUUGCAAAAGAACCCGCCAGAGCCUAUAUUUAAGGGGUCGGGUAACCGACUAUGACGAUAAACGUUUUGCGGAAUAAGCGUAACGGACCCGGGGGCAGUACCCGGCGCCUCCACCAGUUAGCCCCGGCCGGGCUUUGUAAGAUUUUCUUUUGAAAAAGCCCGGCCGGGCAUUUAUGGGGGCGAUAUAGGAUCGACGGGCGUAGUAAAGGCAUAAUUUUCGUUCGGCAUGAUACCCACCGUAUCGGGGUCACUUUUACAAAUGCAAACGAUAAUGAUGCAUUUGCGGUUGCAGCCUAACGGCUAAUGUAACCACGGGGUUCGGGGGGCACCUGGCAACAGAAGCCCCCCACU